UGGGGAAUAUUGGACAAUGGGCGAAAGCCUGAUCCAGCAAUGCCGCGUGAGUGAUGAAGGCCUUAGGGUUGUAAAGCUCUUUUACCAGGGAUGAUAAUGACAGUACCUGGAGAAUAAGCUCCGGCUAACUCCGUGCCAGCAGCCGCGGUAAUACGGAGGGAGCUAGCGUUGUUCGGAAUUACUGGGCGUAAAGCGUACGUAGGCGGUGACUCAAGUCAGAGGUGAAAGCCUGGAGCUCAACUCCAGAACUGCCUUUGAAACUAGGUCGCUAGAAUCACGGAGAGGUGAGUGGAAUUCCGAGUGUAGAGGUGAAAUUCGUAGAUAUUCGGAAGAACACCAGUGGCGAAGGCGGCUCACUGGACGUGUAUUGACGCUGAGGUACGAAAGCGUGGGGAGCAAACAGGAUUAGAUACCCGGGUAGUCCCUGAGCGGGCUGGCAAGGCGCAU
This 447-nucleotide ribosomal RNA is filed under the name uncultured bacterium. Its description in RNAcentral is "bacterial SSU rRNA". It matches the Rfam family "Bacterial small subunit ribosomal RNA", at positions 355 to 825 of the family's 1533-position model. The record is from RNAcentral.